CCACAAGAAAUUCAAAAAGUCUUAUUUCCCUGACCACAGGUUACAAGAAACCAAGUUCCAGAGGAGGCCAUGGCUGUGGAAUGAGUGAACCAAUAUCCAGGGGGCAAAGUAACCCCACUUGUCAGAUUCCAGAAUCUUCCUUUCUAAAGCGAAGCACUGAGCAGGGUCUGACACAGGCCCCCCUUCCUCACCACAUGACUUCAGCCCAGAGAUAUGUCCCAGCUUGCCCAGGAUUCAAGAGUUCCCUGAGACGGAGAAACCUCUUCCAAGGCUCUUACAGGGUGACCACAGUCCGAAAAUAUUAUCAACAAACCCUGAAGACUAGGGCCACAGACAGGGUGAGGCUCAGAGGCCUCGCGACUGCUCCUGUCCUAUCACAUCCUCCUCCCCUCUGUGCAUCUGUCCAAUUUGUUUUUAGCAAAAAUGCUUGAGAAGCAAACCUGUAAAGUACCCCUCAAUCCAAAGGAGGCUCCUGCCAGACGAGGUGUGCUGAGUAAGAACGAUGAUGUGUGACCACGGUCCCUUCCCUGGCUCCUCAUAAAUGAUGGAAGACACCAUUGAGGAACAGAGGACCUCAGAGGGGAAGAGAGGUCCAGAAGCAGCCCCCUGAAGUCACUACCAAGACAGCAACCAAGGAAAGACGGUGCUCAUGAUAUUUUGUACAUCUCCAAUCAUCGUUAAUCGGGAUCUGCACUUUUAAUUUCCCGAUCAUCCUGUGCUUACUGGAAAACUCGUAGGGCUCCCUCUCUGGCAUUUCCAUGAGGUGCUAAAGGAUGGGUUCACGUGUGAUGUGGCACAAGUGAGAAGUGGUUGGAGAUUUGGCUGCCUGGCCUGAGCUCCUCCUGGCUCUGUCCUCCUGGCCGUUCUAGAUGCAGGCCAGCUUUCUCUGGGCUCCUGGCCUUUCCCAAAGUUUUUUGGCCAAACUCCUUCUGCAGGCCGGCUGCCCUCCCACCCUUCAAAAUCCAUGCCCCCACCCCGCACCGCAUAGCUACUGCUUUUUCUUACUGGCCUCAAAAGGAGAGAUGGAAAAGUUGUGGAUGGGAACAGGACCCUUGUGGCUGAAAAAGCAGGGGAACUCAGAAAUCCCCACCUGUUCCUUGAGAGGUUGCAUGAAGGCUCACUGGUGAUAGAAACAUAUUUUCCAAUAAAUGUAGUUUUUACGGGAA
Neofelis nebulosa (Clouded leopard) is the source of this 1166-nucleotide long non-coding RNA. RefSeq lists it as uncharacterized. The record is from RefSeq and is a predicted model, not a curated record. NCBI's taxonomy places the organism in Eukaryota, Metazoa, Chordata, Mammalia, Carnivora, Felidae. The transcript is spliced from 2 exons.